RNAcentral lists this ribosomal RNA (362 nucleotides) under uncultured bacterium. Its description in RNAcentral is "bacterial SSU rRNA". It matches the Rfam family "Bacterial small subunit ribosomal RNA", at positions 32 to 305 of the family's 1533-position model. The record is from RNAcentral.
AAUCAACGCUGGCGGCGUGCCUAAUACAUGCAAGUCGAGCGGUAACAGGCUCUCACAGUUUUGCUCAAGUUCUAUGUCUCCGGAUAUAGAUGACGAAACUAUCAACAAUGGCCGGCUAGCCAGGAUGGAUAGCGGAGUUUAUUGAGCGAAGUGUGAGAGUGCUGACGAGCGGCGGACGGCUGAGUAACGCGUAGGAACGUACCCCAAAGUGAGGGAUAAGCACUGGAAACAGUGUCUAAUACCGCAUGUGAUCCACGGAUUAAAGCUUUAUGUGCUUUGGGAGCGGCCUGCGUAAGAUUAGCUUGUUGGUGAGGUAAUGGCUCACCAAGGCGACGAUCUUUAGCUGGUCUGAGAGGAUGACC